This 8346-nucleotide long non-coding RNA is filed under the name Triticum aestivum (bread wheat). RNAcentral's name for it is "long non-coding RNA (TAES_LNC000184)". The record is from RNAcentral. Lineage: Eukaryota; Viridiplantae; Streptophyta; Magnoliopsida; Poales; Poaceae.
UUUCUUUUUCUCGGAUUUUUCGCGAUUAUUUUCGAUCGCGAUUUCCGAUCUGUUCUUCGCUUUAGUAUAACUUUUCGCUCGUUUAUCGGAAUCAGGCGAUUCAAGCGCCUAGAGUUUCAUCUCGAAACCCUCUUUUCGUUUAAUCAACCUAAACAAGUUUUUGCUACUGUAAAAUUUGACUUAGGUCCAGAUUAGUAAACGGAGAUUGUUUCUUUCGCCGUUUGAGUUUCGUUGCUUCGUUCGAUUUGAUUCUUUUUGCAAACCGGAGUUCUUAAGUUGAACUUUCUGGUUAGAUCUCUUAUUUUGAGUUUUACCCGUGCACGGUUGCUUGAUUGCUUAUGUAUGUAUUGUUUGUUUGCGAUAGAGUACCCGGAGUGCGAAGCGUGCUACUACGAGUCUCUAGGUUUCACGGAUCAUCAGCAAGGCAAGUAACACUUUGAUCAUACCUCUUUACCACCCAGUUUUAUUGCAUUAGAUCAACCCUCAAACUAUUGCAUGGUUAGGAACUGUUUAAUAUGUGGGUUUUGGGAAGUAGAUGAGGUAGUACCUAUUGCCCUGUUUAUUAUCAAACCGUUGGGAGUUACUUCUACGUUUGCUUAUAUUGCUAUGCUAUGCUCGUAGACGUGGAUUGGGUUUGAGUGAAUUUCCAUGACAGGUGUGAGGAUGUUAAUUAAUGGUUCAACUUAAGGUGGUUACUUUAAUUCACAUCUGGGUCGAUUGAGGCACCUGGGGAACCCAGUGUUGCCUAUAUUUUUGGAUAUCCCGGAGUACCCGUGAGAUUAUCCUAUGGACCGCCACCCAGGCUCAAAGGGAUCAUGAGAUUAUUCAUGCUAGAAACUUCCGUGUGCAGCCACAAGCUAUUAUGGGCUCUAGCAUAGUUGAGUAUGUUGCAUGACCUCUUUCAGUGGUGGGCUAGCAGAUGUAGGGGAAAGUAGGUGUAACUGUCCACCCGGAGUAAAGAGUUAUUGUUUCUGAAAGACUGUGUCUCGGUCAUCCGUUUCUCAAACACCAUGUAGUGCGAGAAAUCAAACGGAGGAGAUCGAGUCUUGUGGGGAAAAGUGUGCAAACCUCUGCAGAGUGUACAAACUAAUCAUGGUUAGCCGUGUCCCCGGUUAUGGACAUCUUGAGUAUCUAGUUCUUGGAUUAUCAUGUGAAUCUCAUCAUCAUGUUACUUAAUUUAAUUUGAUUGGGUUAAUCACGUUCUUAAUUGGGAUUGAUUUGGAGGUACCUUCGCAAUGUUUAACAACCACCAUGAUAGUUUAAAAAAUUAUUUCUUUGCUGUAGGGAAAAAUUGGCUUUUCGCAAAACUAUAACCAUAAAGCUUUCCACCAGCCAUAUAUGCAUGUAGAGAUAGCAUUAUUCUAUUCAUUACUCUCUAUGUGUUACUUUGCCAGCAUAUUCCAUGUGCUAACCUGUUUUCGGGCUGCAGCAUUCAUGUUGCUGACUUUUCAGACGACGAGUAAGGUGCCAUAGGUCGUGGUCUUAUACUCAGUGAUGCCGUUGGAGUUGAUGGACUCACUUUAUCUUCCAAGCCUUCCGUUGUUAUCGUAUUUAGAUGGCCUUAAGCCAUAUUAAUUGUAAUAAGUUCUCUCUAGAGACUAUUCGAUGUAAUAAGUGUGUGAUUGCUACUCUGUUAUAAAUCCGUCAAGUACUGUGCGUGUCAGCAUUACCGAUCCAGGGAUGACACUGAUGCACAGAGACUAGACUGUUUGAGGUCUGGUUGCUACAAGAUGGUAUCAGAGCACACGCUGACUGUAGGACACGGCCACUAAGCUAAAGCCCUAGAUCACUACUCUCUUCUCAUUUCUGACUCCUCUCCUUUCUUCCACUCUUUUAGGAUGGCGGAUGCAAGGAACAAAUUCGCGCAACCGGAUGAGGAUACACCUUUUGGACGACACUUGAAGGAAGUUACUAGGUACCUGAACAUCGGAAUACCAAGCUUCACCGGGACCUACAACGCCACACUACCAGAAGAGGAGCGCUGGAUGAUUCAAGUUCAAGUUCCAGGAAGGACGUUCAUGCCAGUCACUGAGCCCAUAGAGUUUUCCUUUGAUGCACCAACCUGGAGUCUAGGAAAGAGCAUGGCAGCCCACAUCACCAUGGGACGCAUUGGAGAAGUGUACCACAAUGAUCUCAAGGAUAAUAUCUAUCAUAUUUGUGGGCGCCGAGAUGAGCAAUGGGAGAUGAUCAGCACUAGGAAGGAUAGAUCUAUUGCAGCUUUCAUUCAGGAGUUAAACCAGCACAUUCGUCGCCAGGAGAACCAGAUGUGCGCAGGCAUGAUAGAUCUGAAGAAGGCAAAGACCAGGAUCACGGAGCUGGAGGAAGAACUCAAGUCUACACGCGAUGGAUAUGAGGAGGAAAUCGCAACAUUAUUGGAGAAGAAUGGCGACCUGACAAAGAAGCUAGGAGUUUUCAUGGGAGACCCUGCGCCAGGAGGAGAAGAUGACGAUUCUACUUGCCCGGAGAACUACAUCAUCAUCGACGACACCGACUCGGACCCCAGUGAUGAUGAUUUGGAGGAUGAAGCCGGAGCAGAUAUCAUGGAGUCUUCGACCGAUCAAAAUUUCUAGUAGACCACCAAAUUAGUAGUAGUAUUUUCCCCAUGUAUAUAGUAUAGUCCAAGCACUUUGUAACGAUAGUUAGAUCGAUUGUAUGCCUUGUUUGAAUUGAUUGGAGUGAUAUGAUUGUGUUUGUCUCAUGUGCAUAUGGGUAGUGUUUUCCCUCUAGAUCUCAUUCUAUCCUAUUUUCUCAUCUUUUCUAAACCCAUUAGAUGCCUCCGAGACGCGACACCGGAUUUGUUUUCCCACCGGAGGUCACUCGGUUGAUUCAGCAGCAGAAUGCCCUGAUGCAAGUGCUAGUUCAGAACCAAGGCAACAACAACAACAACCCACCACCACCACAUGUUGAUCACUUAGCCCGUUUCUUGAGCUGAAUCCGCCGGUGUUUUCCAGCAGCACUGAGCCGAUUGUUGCAGAUGAUUGGCUCCGCAAGAUUGGAAGGGAAUUGACCACUGCGGGAUGCACAGAUGCGGAGAGAGUGUGUUUUGCCGCACAUCAUCUUGAUGGACCUGCAGCAUCAUGGUGGGAGAAUUACACAGCCACUCACCCCAUUGACACUGUCACAUGGGACUAGUUUCAGCAAGCUUUCCGUACUGCCCAUGUUUCAGCAGGAGCUAUGGCCAUGAAGAAGCGUGAGUUUCGCAACUUACGGCAAGGAGGACGUACCAUUGGCCAAUACGUGGAGGAUUUCAGUAAGUUAGCACGUUAUGCCCCAGAUGACGUUGCUACGGAUGCAGCUAAGCAGGAGAAGUUUCUGGAAGGACUGAAUGAUGAGCUGAGCAUGAAGUUGAUGGUGGCAACUUUUAACAACUACCAGGAGUUGGUAGACAGAGCUCUCAUGAUUGAAGGGAAGCAGCAGCAGAUUGAGAGCCAUAAGAGGAAGUAUGGACAAGGAAAGUACAGUACAGGAGCUCAUCAGAAGCCUCGUUUUACCCCGAACUCAGGAGGACACCUUCAGCAUAACCACGGAGGUCACAAUCACAAUGGAGGGAGCUCGCACAAUCAUAGUGGCCCCAAGAAUGGCAAUGGGAACGGAGGAAGCAACGGACAGAACCGUACCAACCCAUCAACCCCAGCCAAGAGGGAUCUGAGCCACAUUACUUGUUUCAAGUGCCAGAAGACUGGACAUUAUGCAACUGAAUGUCCGGAAGCUAAGAAUGGAAAUGGCAAUGGAAGCUCGGGGAAGAAGCCGAACCCUUUCAACAGGGGACAGGUGAACCACGUUAACGUGGAGGAGGUUGAAGCACAGCCUGAUGCAGUAAUAGGUAAGUUUUUGGUUAAGUCAUUUACGGCAAUCGUUCUUUUUUAUACUGGUGCAUCACAUUCAUACAUAUCAAGGGGAUUUGUGGAUAAGUAUAAGUUACCCACCAAAGUUCUUAGAACACCUAUGUUAGUAACCUCGCCAGGAGCAGAGUAUAUGGCAAGCCAAGGAUGUUUUCAGAUGCCAUUGGCCAUAGGUAGGCAUGUUUUCCCCUCAGACCUAAUAGUUUUGGAGUUGCAAGGUUUGGAUGUGAUUUUGGGAAUGGAUUGGCUAUCGAUGUAUGGAGGAAACAUCGAUUGCGCCAGUAAGACGAUCUUGCUUACUACCCCAGAAGGAAGAAGGAUUAAGUAUGUAUCCCGGCAUGUGCCGAAGAGGACUCAAGUGAAUUCCUUAUCAGGAGUUAUACAGGAGGAAGUGCCAGUGGUGAAGGAUUUCCCUGACGUAUUUCCAGAGGAGUUGCCAGGCAUGCCACCGGAUAGAGACAUUGAGUUUUUGAUUGAGCUUUUGCCACGCACAGGGCCGAUAUCUAAGAGACCGUACAGGAUGCCCGCUAAGGAUUUGGAAGAAAUUAAGAAGCAGAUUAAGGAGUUACUGGAUAAAGGAUAUAUUCGCCCAAGUUCGUCACCUUGGGGAUCACCAGUACUUCUAGUGGAGAAGAAAGAUGGACCGUUGAGGAUGGUUGUUGAUUAUCGUGGAUUGAAUGAAGUAACAAUCAAGAAUAAGUACCCACUGCCGAUGAUCAAUGAUCUGUUUGACCGACUACAAGGAGCUAAAGUAUUUUCCAAGAUUGAUUUGCGAUCAAGAUACCACCAGUUGAAGAUUCGAGAGCAGGAUAUACCCAAGACAGCUUUUACCACAAGGUAUGGGCUACAUGAGUACACCGUUAUGUCAUUUGGCCUGACUAACGCACCUGCCUAUUUCAUGAACAUGAUGAACAAAGUGUUUAUGGAGUUUUUGGAUAAGUUCGUCGUAGUGUUCAUUGAUGAUAUUCUGGUCUAUUCGAAGAAUGAAGAAGAGCAUAAGGAGCAUUUGCGUUUGGUACUUGGAAAGCUCAGAGAACAUCAGUUAUAUGCCAAGUUCAGCAAGUUCGAGUUUUGGUUAAAGGAAGUUGGAUUCCUUGGACAUGUUAUAUCCGGAGAAGGAAUAGCAGUAGAUCCCACCAAGGUUAACACUGUGACAAAUUGGGAAUCACCCACGUCAGUUGGAGAGAUCCGGAGUUUUCUUGGACUCGCAGGAUACUACCGGAGAUUCAUUGAGAAUUUCUCGAAGAUUGCAAAACCUAUGACCGAGUUGUUGAAGAAGGACACCAACUUCAAUUGGACGGAGGAAUGUGAGGCUAGUUUCCAGGAGUUGAAGAAACGUUUAGUUACAGCGCCAGUGUUGAAUCUGCCAGAUCAACGCAAGGAUUAUGAAGUAUAUUGUGACGCUUCUCGUCGAGGACUUGGAGCAGUGCUAAUGCAGGAGGGAAGAGUUGUUUCGUAUGCCUCACGACAACUUAAACCCCAUGAGUUGAAUUAUGCUACACAUGAUUUGGAGUUAGCAGCCGUAGUGCAUGCGUUGAAGACAUGGUGGCAUUUUCUCAUCGGAAACCAUUGUGAGGUGUACACGGAUCACAAGAGUUUGAAGUACAUUUUCACGCAGAAGGAGUUGAAUCCCAGGCAAAGGAGAUGGUUGGAGCUCAUUAAGGAUUAUGAUAUGAGAUUGCAUUAUCACCCAGGGAAGGCUAACGUGGUAGCCGAUGCGUUGAGCCGCAAGAGCCAUGUCAACACACUCAUGACUGGAGAGUUACCCAAGGAGUUAGCAGAGGAUCUUCGCGAACUAUGUUUGGAAAUAGUUCCGAGAGGCUAUGUAGCAGCAUUGGAGAUUCAGUCUACUUUGAUGGAUAAGAUCAGAGAAGCUCAGAAGACCGACAAGGAGAUUGCUGAGAUAAAGGAACGAUGAGUAAAGGAAAAGCCAAGGGAUUUCGUGAGGAUGAGCACGAUACCUUAUGGUUUGAGGACCGCGUUUAUGGGCCCAAUGAUACAGAGAUCAGGAAGUUGAUCUUGCAAGAGGCCCAUGAUUCGCCGUAUUCAAUUCACCCAGGAAAUACUAAGAUGUACCUGGAUUUAAAGGAUAGUUUCUGGUGGACCGGAAUGAAGAAGGAUAUUGCGGAGUAUGUAGCAGUUUGUGAUGUAUGUCAAAGAGUGAAGGCAGAGCAUCAGAAGCCAGCAGGAUUGCUACAACCAUUGCCGAUACCCGAAUGGAAGUGGAAUAAGCUAGGCAUGGAUUUUAUCACGGGAUUGCCCAGGACUCGUUCAGGCUAUGACUCGAUAUGGGUUGUAGUCGAUCGUUUGACGAAGGUAGCUCAUUUCAUCCCAGUAAAGACCACUUAUACCAGUGCUAAGUUGGCAAAGAUAUACAUGACCAGGAUCGUAUGUCUGCAUGGAGUUCCGAGGACCAUUGUAUCAGAUAGAGGAACCCAGUUUACCUCAAAGUUCUGGCAGCAGUUGCAUGAAACUUUGGGUACCAGGCUAGAGUUCAGUACAGCCUUUCAUCCAUAGACAGAUGGAUAGACCGAGGGAGUCAAUCAGAUUUUGGAGGACAUGCUGAGAGCUUGUGCGCUAGAUUAUGGAUCCAGUUGGGAUGAUAAUUUACCGUAUGCAGAGUUUUCUUACAACAAUAGCUACCAAUCCAGUUUGAAGGUGGCCCCUUUCGAAGCCUUGUACGGGAGGAGAUGCAGGACACCGUUGUUGUGGGACGAAGUUGGAGACCGCCAGUUGUUUGGACCAGAUUUGAUUAAAGAGUCUGAACAGAAGGUGAAGUUGAUUCGCGAUAGGCUCAAGGUAGCCCAGUCCAGGCAGAAGAGUUAUGCGGAUUCUAAACGCAAGGAGACAGUUUACGAAGUCGGAGACGGAGUUUAUCUUCGUGUGUCCCCACUUCGAGGAGUUAAGCGUUUUGGAGUUAAGGGAAAGUUAGCGCCACGUUUUGUAGGACCAUACAAAGUUUUGGAGCGUAUGGGAGAAGUUGCUUACAAGUUGGAAUUGCCCGAAGGAUUGUCGGGAGUUCACGAUGUGUUCCAUGUUUCUCAGUUGAAGAAGUGCCACGCAGAGAUGGCUGAUAUUCCUUUGAGAGAUACAGUGCCCCUGGAAGCGAUUCAGUUGGAUAGCGAUCUAACCUACGAGGAGAAACCAGUUAAGAUUCUUGAGUUUGCCAGCAGGGUCACCCGCAGCAAGGUUAUCAAGUUUUCAAAGUUCAGUGGACCCACCAUACCGAGGAUGAAGCCACCUGGGAGCCAGAGGAAGAUCUACAGAAGGACCACCCUCACCUAUUUUCUAGCCAACCCGAAUCUCGAGGGCGAGAUUCAUCUUAAGGGGGGUAGGUUUGUAACAUCCCAAAUUUUCAAUUUGGAAUGUUAUACAAUAGAUCAUCAUUGCAUAUCAUAUUUUUUUGCAUCUUGACUAGAUCCUAGAAAUUCUACGCAACUCAAGGACCCACGGAGAGAGUUGGGGAUUUUGUUAUUUUCAUAUUUGGGUUUUCUCAAAUUUUGAAAAUAGGAUCAUUUGAUUUUAUUUAUUUUAUCUUCAAUUAUUUCAAUAAUAAAAAUAAGAGAGAGGGAAUAAAAUGACUUUCCCAAAAUAAAGAAAUAUUGAGGAUUUAAUAAUAAAAUCAAAUAAGAUUUUAUUUCGGAUUUUAUCGCUAUUUUAUUUGCCUAGGAAAAAUAUGCGUUUUUCAAAAUUUCAUUUUAGGCCCAAAUAAAUGUUCAUCUUGUCCGUCUUGUUUUUAGAGGACGGGGAAAAUUUAUUUCGGGAUUUUUGGUGUCCGUUUAGUAUUUAUUUUAUUUGUUUUUCUGCGCGGAAUAUUAAAAAAAAAGAGUCCACCGCCUUAGCUGGGCCGUACCCGACCCGGACUCGUCCGGCCGGCCCCUUUAAAAGGCCGCGGCCCGACCCCACCGCCAGCACAAGUCGCUGCCCCCGCAAACCCUAACCCUAACCGUGCCCCGCCGCCGCCGUUGCCGCCGCCCCGUCGUCUCGCCGCCGUCCCGCCAACCACCGCCGGAGCCGCCGCCCGCCGGAGGUAGCCGCCGCCCCGCCCGACCGCCGGUUUUCUUUGAAAACUGAUCGGGUUUUUUGUGAAACCCUAGAUCCGGUUUUUUUUGUUUUUCUCGGUUCGGUUUUUUUAGAUUUAUUUAUUUUGCGGACGUUCGUCCAUACGUUCGUUUUAACGAACGGUUUUCGUCGUUUAACCGCAGACAGCGAACGUUCGUUCGUUAGCCUGUUCGUCAGUUUUUCUUUUUCUCAGAUUUUUCGCGAUUAUUUUCGAUCGCGAUUUCCGAUCUGUUUUUCAUUUUAGUAUAACUUUUCGCUCGUUUAUCGGAAUCAGGCGAUUCAAGCGCCUGGAGUUUCAUCUCAAAACCCUCUUUUCGUUUAAUCAACCUAAACAAGUUUUUGCUACUGUAAAAUUUGACUUAGGUCCAGAUUAGUAAACGGAGAUUGUUUCUUUCGCCGUUUGAGUUUCGUUGCUUCGUUCGAUUUGAUUCUUUUUGCAAAC